RNAcentral lists this long non-coding RNA (890 nucleotides) under Bos taurus (domestic cattle). Its description in RNAcentral is "long non-coding RNA NONBTAT024441". Lineage: Eukaryota; Metazoa; Chordata; Mammalia; Artiodactyla; Bovidae. The record is from RNAcentral.
GGAGCAUUAGGUUUGAGACAGAUUGUCUCAGUGUUGAUAUUUUUAGCAUAUAGUUUUUACUCUACUUUUCACCAAAAGAUAGAUUUGUGGUUGCUAUUGCUAUCUCAUUUCUAAAAGUAAAUGAAGAUUUUUUUAAAAGCACCAACUUGGACUUUUUCUAAGGUGAUAGCAUUCAGCCAAAGAUCUAAUAGGACAUAGGAAGUUUUUAUCAUUACCUGAGAUGUCAAAAAAGAAUUAAAUUCAUGAACUUUAUUGUUAAAACUUAGCCAACUUAAAUAGUAUAUGGGAAGUUCAUAAUAUCACACAGUGUUCAGGCAUUCAGCUGAGAAAACAUUUUGUUCCAUAGAGUUAGGAAACAGUUUUAUCUUACGGAGAGAUUUGUUAUACCAACCCUCCUGAAUGAAAGUUUCACACUUUGGGAGACUAUCAUUUGUAAACAUGCAAGUCAGUGGAUUGCUAUGGUUUGCAUGAUUUAACAUGGCAGCCAGUGUUGGACCAAGAAAAAUAUACCCACAUUGAAAAUUCAAGACGUGAUGUCAAUGAGGGCGUUAUAUGCAUAGCAUUCUGUCUCUGUUGACUUCUAAACCAUCUUGUUCUUUUAAUGCAUGUUGCGUGUCUCUCUCAUGCUCUCUUUUAGAAGAAAAGUUUUACCUGUAAGUUAGGCCUUUAAAAAAAAACUCUACAACUCGUGAUUUUCAGUGACAUACUUCAUGUCUCUGUCUUGUGUUUUCUUAACUUCACUCGUGGUGUCUUGACUACUAUAGACCGAAUCCAUUUCCCCAAGCCCCACACUAAAACUUUGGACCCACCGUCUUUUAUGAAACUGUGGUACCUUUUCUUUCUAGAAAGUUUACUUAAAUGUGUCUGAAUAUUACCCUAUUGCUAAUAGC